RNAcentral lists this ribosomal RNA (532 nucleotides) under Pseudomonas aeruginosa. Its description in RNAcentral is "partial 23S ribosomal RNA". It matches the Rfam family "Bacterial large subunit ribosomal RNA", at positions 1110 to 1644 of the family's 2925-position model. The record is from RNAcentral. Lineage: Bacteria; Pseudomonadati; Pseudomonadota; Gammaproteobacteria; Pseudomonadales; Pseudomonadaceae.
AAGCAGCCAUCAUUUAAAGAAAGCGUAAUAGCUCACUGGUCGAGUCGGCCUGCGCGGAAGAUGUAACGGGGCUAAACCAUGCACCGAAGCUGCGGCAGCGACACUAUGUGUUGUUGGGUAGGGGAGCGUUCUGUAAGCCUGCGAAGGUGUGCUGUGAGGCAUGCUGGAGGUAUCAGAAGUGCGAAUGCUGACAUAAGUAACGAUAAAGCGGGUGAAAAGCCCGCUCGCCGGAAGACCAAGGGUUCCUGUCCAACGUUAAUCGGGGCAGGGUGAGUCGACCCCUAAGGCGAGGCCGAAAGGCGUAGUCGAUGGGAAACAGGUUAAUAUUCCUGUACUUGGUGUUACUGCGAAGGGGGGACGGAGAAGGCUAUGUUAGCCGGGCGACGGUUGUCCCGGUUUAAGCAUGUAGGCUGGUUGUCCAGGCAAAUCCGGAUAAUCAAGGCUGAGGUGUGAUGACGAGGCACUACGGUGCUGAAGUAACAAAUGCCCUGCUUCCAGGAAAAGCCUCUAAGCAUCAGGUAACAUUAAAUCG